UAGGGAAUAUUGGGCAAUGGGCGAAAGCCUGACCCAGCCAUGCCGCGUGAGUGAUGAAGGCCUUCGGGUCGUAAAACUCUUUUCUGAGGGAAGAAAAGUUGAGGGAGGAAAUGCCCCCGACCUGACGGUACCUCAGGAAUAAGCAACGGCCAACUCCGUGCCAGCAGCCGCGGUAAUACGGAGGUUGCGAGCGUUGUUCGGAAUAACUGGGCGUAAAGGGAGCGCAGGCGGUCUGGUGUGUCCGGAGUGAAAGCCCGGGGCUGAACAUCGGAAGCGCUUUAGAUACUACCAGACUUGAGUACGGAAGAGGAGAGUGGAAGUGCAGGUGUAGCGGUGAAAUGCGUAGAUAUCUGGAGGAACACCGGUGGCGAAAGCGGCUCUCUGGUCCGAUACUGACGCUCAUGCUCGAAAGCGUGGGGAGCAAACG
RNAcentral lists this ribosomal RNA (427 nucleotides) under uncultured prokaryote. Its description in RNAcentral is "bacterial SSU rRNA". It matches the Rfam family "Bacterial small subunit ribosomal RNA", at positions 355 to 774 of the family's 1533-position model. The record is from RNAcentral.